GUACCUGUUGACCUCAUCUGGGCUGCAGUUGGUGACUGCUCGAAGGGGUGGGAGGAACAGUAUAAAGUCCUGUCCCCUUCCUGCCUUCAAGGGCACCCCUGAAGGACCAUAUCCACUGUGGACCCCCUUGGGAUCAGCCGAGUGACUCGAAGGAAUUGGGUCUUGAGACACAGCCGAGCCUGUGAGCGCUGACCUGUGUAAAGAAGACACCAGAAUGAGAUGUCUCCACACACAGAGAGCUGCAGCCGAUGCCGGCCGGUGACUUGGGACUUGGAUGCUUAACAGGAGGCUCCCCCUCUCUUGGGAGGUAGAGAGCAGUGAGGAAGGGGACUCAGCCUCCAUGCCUCCCGCCAGCCCAGCUGCGCCCGAAUCACCUCCCUCCUGAAAGGAUGUCAGCCUCUGCUUGGACACCGUGGAGACAGGGCCCUCCUUGUGCUUCAGAAGCAUCAACGUGUCAGAAAAUCAUCUUCACGCCAAGUCUGGAAAAAAUGGCUUUGAGGUUGUGCACACAAAGGAAGGAGGGAGAGCCCCAGGUGUCGCGGAGGACCAUGCGGCUGACAGAGCCAGCAGGGCGGUGGCGUGUGAGCCGUGCUCUGGAUAUAUAAGGAUCUGACGCUGCUGGCAAUGUCUGAGCUCUAUGCUCGCCCAUCUGUCGGCUGCUAUCAUCACCGGGUGGGAUUAGCGGAGAUCCACUCUUUCAUAUUUAAAUCUUCACAAGAGAAUGAAUCACUUUUAUAAUAAAAGAAAAAGACCGUCCAUGUUGUUAAUGUGCACACAGCAAGUUGGAAGGCCGGGGAGGGCAGCGGGUGGGGACGCUGACCCAGGCGCCCCCCUGCUGCCUGGAACAGCCCCAGGCCUGCUCCACUGUCCCCUCGGGGUUCCCUGUCGAAGAGGCCAAAGAGUGGAGGGGCUGGUGCCUAGAGGGUGUGGAGCUGCAGGUGCACAGUACAGCUGGCACCUGGCAGAGGUGGUUCAUUAUCAAGCAAAGGAUGAACAAGGCACUUGGAGCCCCUUCACAACUGGAACCUCCACUGCAGGCACAAGGCUGGGCUGGACUGGGGUCUCCUCCUCUCCAUGACAGCCUUGGGCAACCUGGAGCCCGCCACUGCCCCUCCCCAGGUGCUGUCCCCUUGAAGCUUCUCCCAACGGUUUAGUAUUGUAGAGUUGGCACAUCUCACGUGAACAAGAACAGCCAUCACUGAAACGAAUGCUCAGAGCGGACCGGCGUUUUUUCCCAGCCACCCUGGGGUGAGCAUGGCUCACGUUGCACACCAGGAAGCCCAGGAGCGGGGAAUUGAACCAGUUCCAUCCAGUCCCUGGCAAGGGACCACCCUGUGUCCGAAGGCCACGUUCAUUUUUCAGAUUGCAGGAAAUGGCUCAGCCUGAAGUUCAAGUUUUCCUCUGAGCUCCUGUUGAUUAAUGUGGCAAAGAGAGCAUGCUGUGGAAUAUGCUGGCAGAAAUGUCAGGAUUGCUAAAGCGUUUCACUGCAAAUGCUCAGGCUGGUGGGGAGGUGCCUUGGCACAAUUCUGCAGAGGGUAUUUGGCAAUAGCAACAAAAUCACAAAGGCACAAACCCUGUGACCCAGAAACACCAAUUUCACGGUAGGAGCUGCUGCCGCAGGGGUUUGCCCAGAGCACAGGGAAAGAUGUGCUCACUGUACUCGCUGGGACAAGCAAGAGAUUGGAAAGAGCUCAGUGUCGUCAUUCAGGGUGUCUCCUGUGUCUCCUGAUCGCUAUAAGGGGUUCCAGGCUGGUCCCCGGGGGAGGAGCUCCUGAUCAGACGCAGGCCCUGCCCCCUCCCCAGCACAGAGCUGGUGAAGGAAGUGGACAUUCAUUCAUUCAGGAUGUUCUGAGUAUUUCAGCACCACCAGGCCCUGGGAAAUCAAGGUCUCAGCAGAUGACGGUGGCAGUUUGAUUUUUGGCUGAAUUGUCCUCUACAGCAGUCACUGGGGGUUGCGUUUUUCUCACACUGCCCAGUCAUGCAGCACACGGAAGCCAUCCAUAUGCCAUGGGAAAAUGCUUUGUCUCCUGCCUGGGCGCCCCCCGAGCCAGUGAGUACAGUCCUGCCUAGUGGCAAGAUCUUCUUCCGAAAGAACGUCUACACACUGCCGAUGACAUUUACUUCACUCAGAAUUUGCAAGUCCAAUGCCGACAUGAAUAUGCACGGCACUGCUGCUUGGAUACGUGGCCUCAGGGCCACGCCUGCGGGUGAUGUGACAAGUCCACAGACUCCCGUGGCGGCUUCUCACCGAGAAACAUUCCAGCACCUGGAGGCUGCCAGCUGGGAACCCCCUUUAGGCGACGUCAGCGCCGUUGGUUCUCAGCCUGAGCCGCCCCCUGUGCCCGCUGUGGUCCUCCAGGCCCAGGCAGGGAGAGCCCGAGGAAAAGCAAGCGGAGGGUCAGAUGGGGAACCAGCGUGCCUGGAGCCACGCAGGGACACGGACUUAGAAUUCUACCUUGCAUUUAAGGAACAGAUGAUAGAUACUCUCUACAGUCUCUUCCAGGAAAUAGAAGCAGAGGAACACUUUAUAACUCACUCUACGAGGCCGGCAUUACCCCAAUAACAAAACCGAGGAUGUUACAAGAAAGGAAAACGCAGACCAGGAUGUCUCAUGAACACAGAUGCAAAAACCCUCAACAAAACAGCAGCAAAUCCAGCAUCACAUACUAAGAAUUAUACACCACAGGAUUUCCCAACCAGCACCACAUACUAAGAAUUACACAAAUAGCAGCGAAUCUCAUGCAGCGCUACAUGGUAAGAAUUAGACAGCACAGGAUUUAUUCCAGGCAUGCGAGGCUGCUCCAGGGUUCGGAAACAGAUUAUCGAAAUCCAUCAUGGCAACAGGAACUAUUUUCCAAAACCCAACACCCAUCUGUGAGAAAAACCUUUCACAAGCCAGGAAUACAAGGGAACUCCCUCAGCUUGGUAGAGAACAUCUACUAAAAACCUACAGCCCAUGUCAUACUCAAUGGUGACAAACCUGAAGCUUUUCUUCCUAAGAUAGGGAAGGAGGCAGGGAGGCCCCCUAUCCUCACUCCUAUUUAACGUCAUACUGUGAGUUCACAGGAUGGACACUACCGAUUUCAACACUUGCUAUAAAGCCCCAGUUAUCGGUACAGUGUAAUUUUUUUUUUUUUUUUGAAAUGGAGUCUCACUCUGUCGCCCAGGCUGGAGUAUGGUGACACAAUCUUGGCUCACUGCAGCCUCUGCCUCCUGGGUUCAAGUGAUUCUCCUGCCUCAGCCUCUUGAGUACUUGGGAUUUCAGGCACCUGCCACCAUACCUGGCUAAUUUUUGUAUUUUUAGUAGAGAUGGGGGUUUCACUAUAUUGGCCAGACUGGCCUCGAACUCCUGACCUCAAGUGAUCCACCCGCCUCGGCCUCCCAAAGUGCUGGGAUUACAGGCGUGAGCCACCACACCCAGCCAGUAAAGUGUAAUCGUGGCUAAAGAACAGACAAAUAUUCCAAUGGAACAGAAAAGAGAGCCCAGAAGUGGACGGACACAUGCAUGGGCAAAUGAUCUUUGAGAAAGAAGCAAAAGUUAUUGAUGUUGAAAAGACUGUCUUUCAACAGAUGGUGCUGGAACAACUGACAUCCACAUGUAGAAAAAAAUGGGUCUUAUACCUUUCAGGAUAAUUAACUCAAAAGGCCUCACAGACCUUAAUAUAAAAUGCAAGAUAAUACAAUUUAUAGAUAAUAACACAUUUUAUUUAAUAUAAAAUACAAGAUAAUAAAAUUUCUAGGUAAUAAAAUCUAGGUAUCUUGGGUAUAAAAUCUAGGUAUCUUGGGUUUGGCAAUGAGUUUUUAGAUGCAACAUCAAAAGCAUAAUCCACAAAAAAAAUGAAUAAGCUGGACUUCAUUAAAAUUAAGAAAUUACACGGCUGGGCGUGGUGGCUCACACUUGUAAUCCCAGCACUUUUGGAGGCCAAGGCGGGUGGAUCACCUGAGGUCAGGAGUUCAAGACCAGCCUGACCAACAUGGAGAAACCCCAUCUCUACUAAAAAUACAAAAUUAGCUGGGCAUGGUGGUGCACGCCUGUAAUCCCAGCUACUCGGGAGGCUGAGGCAGGAGAAUCACUUGAACCCGGGAGGCGGAGGUUGUGGUGAGCCGAGAUUGUGCCAUUACACUCCAGCCUGGGCAACAAGAGCGAAACUCCGUCUCAAAAACAAAAAAGAAAAAACAAAAACAAAACAAAACAAAAACGCUCUAAAAAUGACACUGUUAAACGAAUGAGAAGACAAGAUACAGCCUAGGAAAAAAUAUUUGCAAAAUACUUGAUAAAGGAGUGUUAUCCAAAAUAUAUAAAGAACUUUUACAACUCAACAAUAAGGAAACAAACAUGAAGAAAUGGGCAAAACAUCUGAAUAGACACCUCAUCAAAGAAGACGUAGCAAUGGAAAAAUAAGCACAAGAAAAAUGCUCCACAUCAUAUGUCAUUAGAGAAAUGUCGAUUAAAACAAUGAGAUCAAAUGAGAAUGGCUACAAAAACCAAAACCAAGAUCCUGACGACACCAAACGCUGGCAAGGCUGCGGAGCAACAGAACCGCCCUCACCCGUGGCUGCUGGGAAUUCAAAAUGGCGCAGCCGUGCUGGAAGGCACUUUGGCAACUUCCUACAAAGCUCAACGUAUCCUUACCACGUGUUCCAACGAUCGCCCUCCUUGGCAUUUCUACUCCCAAAGGGGUGAAAGCCACACAGAAACCUGCACAUGUAUGUUUAUAGCAGCCUUCUUCAUAAAUGCCAAAAACCAAGAUGUCCAUCAAUAGCUGAGUGAAUAAACAAGCUGGGGGACAUCCAGAUAAUGGAAUAUUAUUCAGCCGUAAAAAGAACAAGCUAUCAAGCCAUGAAAAGACAGGGAGAAACCUCAACUACAUACUGCGAAGGGAAAGAAGCUGGUCUGAAAAGGCUGCAUACGGUAUAAUCCCAGCUGUGUGACGUUCUGGGUAAGACAAACUGGAAAGACAGUAAGAGGAUCAGUGGGUGCCAGGGGUUGUGGGGAGGGAGGAAUAAACAGGUGGAGCUCCAAGGAUUUUUUCGGGCAAUGAAACUCUUCUGCAGGAUCCUGGGAUGGUAGAUAUAGGACAUUACACAUUUGUCCAAACCCACAGAAGGUACAAGACUGAUGAACCCUAAUAUAAACUGCAGACUUUCCUUAAUAAUGUAUCAAUAUUGGCUCAUUAAUUGUAACAAUGUACCACACUAAUGCAAAAUGUUAAUAACAGGGAGACACCUGUUAUUAACAGGUGAGGGCCAGGAGACACCAUGGAGCCGCUGUCCUGUGGGCUCAACGCUUCUCUACAACUGUUCUAAAAAAUAAAGUCUAUUAAUAACAAUU
Molecule: long non-coding RNA, 5332 nt
Filed under: Homo sapiens (human)
Lineage: Eukaryota; Metazoa; Chordata; Mammalia; Primates; Hominidae
Description: non-protein coding LINC00659:8
Source: RNAcentral